RNAcentral lists this ribosomal RNA (383 nucleotides) under uncultured eukaryote. RNAcentral's name for it is "partial 18S ribosomal RNA". It matches the Rfam family "Eukaryotic small subunit ribosomal RNA", at positions 592 to 976 of the family's 1831-position model. The record is from RNAcentral.
CAAUAGCGUAUAUUAAAGUUGUUGCAGUUAAAAAGCUCGUCGUUGGAUUUCUGGUGGGAGCGAUCGGUCUGGCGCUUAGCGCGAGUACUUGCAUCGUCUCCGGCCAUCCUUGGGGAGAGUCUGUCUGGCAUUAGGUUGUCGGGCAGAGGAUCCUCAUCGUUUACUGUGAAAAAAUUAGAGUGUUCAAAGCAGGCUUAUGCCGUUGAAUAUAUUAGCAUGGAAUAAUAAGAUAGGACUUUGGUACUAUUUUGUUGGUUUGCGCACCAAAGUAAUGAUUAAUAGGGACAGUUGGGGGUAUUCGUAUUCCGUUGUCAGAGGUGAAAUUCUUGGAUUUACGGAAGACGAACUACUGCGAAAGCAUUUACCAAGGAUGUUUUCAUUAA